GGAGUUAGCCGGUGCUUCUUCUGUGAGUGAUGUCCUUCCUGCCGGUUAUUGACCCGCAGGCCUUCUUCCUCACUGAAAGUGCUUUACAACCCGAAGGCCUUCUUCACACACGCGGCAUGGCUGGAUCAGGGUUGCCCCCAUUGUCCAAUAUUCCCCACUGCUGCCUCCCGUAGGAGUCUGGGCCGUGUCUCAGUCCCAGUGUGGCUGAUCAUCCUCUCAGACCAGCUACGGAUCGUCGCCUUGGUGAGCCGUUACCUCACCAACCAGCUAAUCCGACAUAGGCUCAUCCGAUAGCGCGAGGCCCGAAGGUCCCCCGCUUUCCCCCGUAGGGCGUAUGCGGUAUUAGCCUGGGUUUCCCCAGGUUAUCCCCCACUACCGGGCAGAUUCCUAUGCAUUACUCACCGUCCGCCGCUCGCCACCAGGGAGCAAGCUCCCCGUGCUGCCGCUCGACUUGCAUGUGUUAGGCCUGCCGCCAGCGUUCAAUCUGAGCCAGAAUCGAACCCUGA
Molecule: ribosomal RNA, 506 nt
Filed under: uncultured bacterium
Lineage: Bacteria
Description: partial 16S ribosomal RNA
Source: RNAcentral